This is a non-coding RNA of Paramuricea clavata, 843 nucleotides long. The record is from the annotation of a GenBank genome assembly. NCBI's taxonomy places the organism in Eukaryota, Metazoa, Cnidaria, Anthozoa, Malacalcyonacea, Plexauridae.
UGACAUACACGAUGAUAUAUAUGAUGUAUAUGGUAAAAUAAGUAUUUUAAUAUUCUAGCUUUCGACUAAGAUUCAGUCAUCAUCUGGUAUCGAUGUAUAAAUGUAACCUAGCAGUUUCUGAUGAUGACUGAACUUAGUCCGGCUAGAAUAUUAAAAUAUUUUCGGAGUUAAUAACGUUGUUUUAUAUGUAUAUCAGUGGUCUUGUUCAUUGUUUCUGACGAUGACUCUGAAAUAGAUUAUAGUAUAGAGUAUAGUGAACAACCUCUUAGUCAGAGUGCAGUGCAUUUCUUGGCGUUUAUGAAAAGUAUAAGCUUAUUAAUUAUGCUAGUUAUAUCACUGUUCAUACAUUCAUUUAUAAACAUUGUGAAAUUAUAAUUAUAUAGGUAGGAAAGUUGCUAUAGAAAUGAAGUAUGUGUUGAAAUGAUGUCUGUACAAAACAUCUAAGCUCAGUCUUGAUAUUGGGUGUCUAAAGGCAAAACAAAGAAGAAGAAGCAAGUGCCAAAGUCAAAGGACAAAGAGUUUUUGGAAAACGAAAAUGACAUAUAAACUGUUUUAGGUCAAUCCAAAUUUAUGCGAACACGCAACAUUUAUACCUCAUUCUAGUAUAACAGCGCCAUAUAAUAUUUAUUGUUAUGCCUAGUUUAAACGUCAAUUUUUACGUGUGCCAACCUAAUGUAGUAAUGAGUAAUGACAGUAAUGCUGAGUGUUGUCACCGCGGUAAUGUCUAAUGGAGUAAUCACUGACUAUCACGAAAAAAUACAGUCACCCGCAUUACAAUAUUACAGGUUCGAACACGAUAAGCGCGACGUUUGAAGAUAGGCUAAAUUAAUGAAUAAUGCGAAU